GAGGGGAGUGAAAAAGAACCUGAAACCGUGUACGUACAAGCAGUGGGAGCCCCACCACCAAAGCAUUUGCUGUACCGUGUUGACGGAGCGAAGCGACGUCAAACCGAUAAAACAGCAGUGUAAAGUGAGCCGCAGGGCGCUUUGCGCGACAGCGCAAAGGCAGGCGGUUUCGCGUAGCGAAAGCGAAUGCUUUGGGGUGGGGUGACUGCGUACCUUUUGUAUAAUGGGUCAGCGACUUAUAUUCUGUAGCAAGGUUAACCGAAUAGGGGAGCCGGAGGGAAACCGAGUCUUAACCG
This 296-nucleotide ribosomal RNA is filed under the name Salmonella enterica subsp. enterica serovar Heidelberg. RNAcentral describes it as "partial 23S ribosomal RNA". It matches the Rfam family "Bacterial large subunit ribosomal RNA", at positions 531 to 690 of the family's 2925-position model. The record is from RNAcentral. Lineage: Bacteria; Pseudomonadati; Pseudomonadota; Gammaproteobacteria; Enterobacterales; Enterobacteriaceae.